This is a non-coding RNA of Acanthosepion pharaonis, 104 nucleotides long. Lineage: Eukaryota; Metazoa; Mollusca; Cephalopoda; Sepiida; Sepiidae. The record is from the annotation of a GenBank genome assembly.
UAUGGCCAUAUCAUAUCAAAACGUUGGUUCCCACAAGAUCACUGAAGUUAAGCAACAUCAGGCCUGAUCAGUACCUAGAUGGAUGACUGCAUGGGAAUACCAGC